GACGAACGCUGGCGGCGUGCUUAACACAUGCAAGUCGAACGGGCCUUGUCCCCUUUUUUUUGGGGGUGGGGUUAGUGGCGAACGGGUGAGUAACACGUGAGUAACCUGCCCCUCACUUCUGGAUAGCCGCUUGAAAGGGUGGCUAAUACGGGGUGUUCUGGCCUGCUCGCAUGGGUGGGUUUGGAAAGAUUCGACCGGUUUUGGUUGUUUUGGUGGGGGAUGGGCUCGCGGCCUAUCAGCUUGUUGGUGGGGUGAUGGCCUGCCAAGGCUUUGACGGGUAGCCGGCCUGAGAGGGUGGGCGGUCACACUGGGACUGAGACACGGCCCAGACUCCUACGGGAGGCAGCAGUGGGGAAUAUUGCACAAUGGGCGCAAGCCUGAUGCAGCGACGCCGCGUGAGGGAUGGAGGCCUUCGGGUUGUGAACCUCUUUCGCCAGUGAAGAAGGUCCUGCUCUUUGUGGUGGGGUUGACGGUAGCUGGGUUAAUGAAGCGCCGGCUAACUACGUG
RNAcentral lists this ribosomal RNA (507 nucleotides) under uncultured bacterium. RNAcentral describes it as "partial 16S ribosomal RNA". It matches the Rfam family "Bacterial small subunit ribosomal RNA", at positions 28 to 507 of the family's 1533-position model. The record is from RNAcentral.